GCAGAGAAAAAAACACGGCCCGGUUGGUAGUCCGGGCGCGGCGGGGUAAGCCUGCUGUCAGUAACCUGCCUCCUUGGUUGUCCGUUCUCUGU
This 92-nucleotide non-coding RNA is filed under the name uncultured Agathobaculum sp. RNAcentral describes it as "yjdF RNA". It matches the Rfam family "azaaromatic riboswitch aptamer (yjdF RNA)", at positions 5 to 92 of the family's 101-position model. The record is from RNAcentral. Lineage: Bacteria; Bacillati; Bacillota; Clostridia; Eubacteriales; Butyricicoccaceae.